RNAcentral lists this transfer RNA (71 nucleotides) under Camelus bactrianus (Bactrian camel). It matches the Rfam family "tRNA". From Rfam's summary of the family: Transfer RNA (tRNA) molecules are approximately 80 nucleotides in length. Their secondary structure includes four short double-helical elements and three loops (D, anti-codon, and T loops). Lineage: Eukaryota; Metazoa; Chordata; Mammalia; Artiodactyla; Camelidae. RNAcentral also lists the same sequence under 1 other name. The record is from Rfam by way of RNAcentral.
AGGGGUAUAGCCAGUGGCAGAACACAUGCUUAGUAUGCAUGAAGUCCUGGGUUCAAUCCCCAAUACCUCCA